This 332-nucleotide unclassified non-coding RNA is filed under the name soil metagenome. RNAcentral's name for it is "partial contains 5.8S ribosomal RNA, internal transcribed spacer 2, and large subunit ribosomal RNA". The stretch from base 1 to 120 matches the Rfam family "5.8S ribosomal RNA", at positions 35 to 154 of the family's 154-position model. The record is from RNAcentral.
GAUGAAGAACGUAGCAAAAUGCGAUAAGUAAUGUGAAUUGCAGAAUUCAGUGAAUCAUCGAAUCUUUGAACGCACAUUGCGCCCGCCGGUAUUCUGGCGGGCAUGCCUGUUCGAGCGUCAUUUCAACCCUCAAGCACAGCUUGGUGUUGGGACUCGCGUUAAUUCGCGUUCCCCAAAUUGAUUGGCGGUCACGUCGAGCUUCCAUAGCGUAGUAGUAAAACCCUCGUUACUGGUAAUCGUCGCGGCCACGCCGUUAAACCCCAACUUCUGAAUGUUGACCUCGGAUCAGGUAGGAAUACCCGCUGAACUUAAGCAUAUCAAUAAGCGGAGGA